AGAGUUUGAUCAUGGCUCAGAUUGAACGCUGGCGGCAGGCCUAACACAUGCAAGUCGAACGGUAGCACAGAGAGCUUGCUCUCGGGUGACGAGUGGCGGACGGGUGAGUAAUGUCUGGGAAACUGCCUGAUGGAGGGGGAUAACUACUGGAAACGGUAGCUAAUACCGCAUAACGUCGCAAGACCAAAGUGGGGGACCUUCGGGCCUCAUGCCAUCAGAUGUGCCCAGAUGGGAUUAGCUAGUAGGUGGGGUAACGGCUCACCUAGGCGACGAUCCCUAGCUGGUCUGAGAGGAUGACCAGCCACACUGGAACUGAGACACGGUCCAGACUCCUACGGGAGGCAGCAGUGGGGAAUAUUGCACAAUGGGCGCAAGCCUGAUGCAGCCAUGCCGCGUGUAUGAAGAAGGCCUUCGGGUUGUAAAGUACUUUCAGCGAGGAGGAAGGCAUUAAGGUUAAUAACCUUGGUGAUUGACGUUACUCGCAGAAGAAGCACCGGCUAACUCCGUGCCAGCAGCCGCGGUAAUACGGAGGGUGCAAGCGUUAAUCGGAAUUACUGGGCGUAAAGCGCACGCAGGCGGUCUGUCAAGUCGGAUGUGAAAUCCCCGGGCUCAACCUGGGAACUGCAUUCGAAACUGGCAGGCUUGAGUCUCGUAGAGGGGGUAGAAUUCCAGGUGUAGCGGUGAAAUGCGUAGAGAUCUGGAGGAAUACCGGUGGCGAAGGCGGCCCCCUGGACGAAGACUGACGCUCAGGUGCGAAAGCGUGGGGAGCAAACAGGAUUAGAUACCCUGGUAGUCCACGCCGUAAACGAUGUCUAUUUGGAGGUUGUUCCCUUGAGGAGUGGCUUCCGGAGCUAACGCGUUAAAUAGACCGCCUGGGGAGUACGGCCGCAAGGUUAAAACUCAAAUGAAUUGACGGGGGCCCGCACAAGCGGUGGAGCAUGUGGUUUAAUUCGAUGCAACGCGAAGAACCUUACCUGGUCUUGACAUCCACGGAAUUUGGCAGAGAUGCCUUAGUGCCUUCGGGAACCGUGAGACAGGUGCUGCAUGGCUGUCGUCAGCUCGUGUUGUGAAAUGUUGGGUUAAGUCCCGCAACGAGCGCAACCCUUAUCCUUUGUUGCCAGCGGUUAGGCCGGGAACUCAAAGGAGACUGCCAGUGAUAAACUGGAGGAAGGUGGGGAUGACGUCAAGUCAUCAUGGCCCUUACGACCAGGGCUACACACGUGCUACAAUGGCAUAUACAAAGAGAAGCGACCUCGCGAGAGCAAGCGGACCUCAUAAAGUAUGUCGUAGUCCGGAUUGGAGUCUGCAACUCGACUCCAUGAAGUCGGAAUCGCUAGUAAUCGUGAAUCAGAAUGUCACGGUGAAUACGUUCCCGGGCCUUGUACACACCGCCCGUCACACCAUGGGAGUGGGUUGCAAAAGAAGUAGGUAGCUUAACCUUCGGGAGGGCGCUUACCACUUUGUGAUUCAUGACUGGGGUGAAGUCGUAACAAGGUAACCGUAGGGGAACCUGCGGUUGGAUCACCU
Molecule: ribosomal RNA, 1527 nt
Filed under: [Enterobacter] lignolyticus SCF1
Lineage: Bacteria; Pseudomonadati; Pseudomonadota; Gammaproteobacteria; Enterobacterales; Enterobacteriaceae
Description: bacterial SSU rRNA
Rfam family: Bacterial small subunit ribosomal RNA
Source: RNAcentral